CCUACGGGAGACUGCAGUGGGGAAUAUUGGGCAAUGGGCGCAAGCCUGACCCAGCAACGCCGCGUGAAGGAAGAAGGCUUUCGGGUUGUAAACUUCUUUUCUCAGGGACGAAGAGAGUGACGGUACCUGAGGAAUAAGCCACGGCUAACUACGUGCCAGCAGCCGCGGUAAUACGUAGGUGGCAAGCUUUAUCCGGAUUUAUUGGGUGUAAGGGGCGUGUAGGCGGGAGUGCAAGUCAGAUGUGAAAACUCAGGGCUAACCCCAGAUCCGGGAUUUGAAACUGUGUUUAUGAGUGCUGGAGAGGCAAUCGGAAUUCCGUGUGUAGCGGUGAAAUGCGUAGAUAUACGGAGGAACACCAGUGGCGAAGGCGGAUUGCUGGACAGCAACUGACGCUGAGGCGCGAAAGCGUGGGGAGCAAACAGGAUUAGAUACCCCUGUAGUC
RNAcentral lists this ribosomal RNA (442 nucleotides) under uncultured bacterium. Its description in RNAcentral is "partial 16S ribosomal RNA". It matches the Rfam family "Bacterial small subunit ribosomal RNA", at positions 338 to 795 of the family's 1533-position model. The record is from RNAcentral.